This 690-nucleotide ribosomal RNA is filed under the name uncultured bacterium. RNAcentral's name for it is "partial 16S ribosomal RNA". It matches the Rfam family "Bacterial small subunit ribosomal RNA", at positions 141 to 851 of the family's 1533-position model. The record is from RNAcentral.
GGAUAGCCGCCCGAAAGGACGGGUAAUACCGGAUACCCCCGGGCGCCGCAUGGCGCCCGGGCUAAAGCCCCGACGGGAGGGGAUGGCUCCGCGGCCCAUCAGGUAGACGGCGGGGUGACGGCCCACCGUGCCGACAACGGGUAGCCGGGUUGAGAGACCGACCGGCCAGAUUGGGACUGAGACACGGCCCAGACUCCUACGGGAGGCAGCAGUGGGGAAUCUUGCGCAAUGGGGGGAACCCUGACGCAGCGACGCCGCGUGCGGGACGGAGGCCUUCGGGUCGUAAACCGCUUUCAGCAGGGAAGAGUCAAGACUGUACCUGCAGAAGAAGCCCCGGCUAACUACGUGCCAGCAGCCGCGGUAAUACGUAGGGGGCGAGCGUUAUCCGGAUUCAUUGGGCGUAAAGCGCGCGUAGGCGGCCCGGCAGGCCGGGGGUCGAAGCGGGGGGCUCAACCCCCCGAAGCCCCCGGAACCUCCGCGGCUUGGGUCCGGUAGGGGAGGGUGGAACACCCGGUGUAGCGGUGGAAUGCGCAGAUAUCGGGUGGAACACCGGUGGCGAAGGCGGCCCUCUGGGCCGAGACCGACGCUGAGGCGCGAAAGCUGGGGGAGCGAACAGGAUUAGAUACCCUGGUAGUCCCAGCCGUAAACGAUGGACGCUAGGUGUGGGGGGACGAUCCCCCCGUGCCGCAG